This 253-nucleotide ribosomal RNA is filed under the name uncultured bacterium. RNAcentral describes it as "partial 16S ribosomal RNA". It matches the Rfam family "Bacterial small subunit ribosomal RNA", at positions 524 to 776 of the family's 1533-position model. The record is from RNAcentral.
UACGAAGGGUGCAAGCGUUAAUCGGAAUUACUGGGCGUAAAGCGUGCGCAGGCGGCUUUGCAAGACAGAUGUGAAAUCCCCGGGCUUAACCUGGGAACUGCAUUUGGGACUGCAAGGCUGGAGUGUGGCAGAGGAGACUGGAAUUCCCGGUGUAGCAGUGAAAUGCGUAGAUAUCGGGAGGAAUACCGAUGGCGAAGGCAGGUCUCUGGGCAUUACCUGACGCUGAGGAGCGAAAGUGUGGGGAGCGAACAGG